UGGGGAAUAUUGGACAAUGGGCGAAAGCCUGAUCCAGCCAUGCCGCGUGUGUGAAGAAGGCCUUUUGGUUGUAAAGCACUUUAAGCGAGGAGGAGGCUACUUAGAUUAAUACUCAAGGAUAGUGGACGUUACUCGCAGAAUAAGCACCGGCUAACUCUGUGCCAGCAGCCGCGGUAAUACAGAGGGUGCGAGCGUUAAUCGGAUUUACUGGGCGUAAAGCGUGCGUAGGCGGCUUCUUAAGUCGGAUGUGAAAUCCCUGAGCUUAACUUAGGAAUUGCAUUCGAUACUGGGAAGCUAGAGUAUGGGAGAGGAUGGUAGAAUUCCAGGUGUAGCGGUGAAAUGCGUAGAGAUCUGGAGGAAUACCGAUGGCGAAGGCAGCCAUCUGGCCUAAUACUGACGCUGAGGUACGAAAGCAUGGGGAGCAAACAGG
Molecule: ribosomal RNA, 430 nt
Filed under: bacterium
Lineage: Bacteria
Description: partial 16S ribosomal RNA
Rfam family: Bacterial small subunit ribosomal RNA
Source: RNAcentral